GCCGCCGCCGCCCACAGCCCCUCCCACGAGCUUGGCGGCGGCGGGGCCUCCUCCCACGAGCCCCUUUUCCCCAUGGUUUUCUUCCUCCCUCAACUCCAAGACAAGCUUGGCGGCUGGGAGAUCCACACCGUGUUCGACAGGAUCUGCCCCCUCCCCCCCUCCUGCGGUUUCCCCUCUUCUACACCCUGCUCCUUGGGUUCACCGGCGGCCAUGGCCUCCCCCGGUGCAGCGCGGGUCGGGCAUCUCAAGGGCGGAUCCGGUCCUCCCAGAUCUGCGCGGCAGUCUUUGGAGGUCUGCUGCCUGCUGCUGGUAUUCAUGAUCUACCUGCAAUCAAAUUUAUUUAUGAAUAAAAUGAAAACUAUAGUGCUACCUGUGCUAGCUAUAUAUCCUGACAUUUCUCUUUUGACAAACAAAAGUUAAUAAAAGAGAAUGAGUGCACGGGUAGCAAUAGCAUCCAAGUUUCACGUCUGUCCAGUCAUCCAAUUUCGCAGACCACAGCCAGAUACUGAAGUUUGCAAUCAUGCAUGUUCCUCAAGAUUGUGGUUUACUAAAACUUGUUAGACUGAGCAGCAAAGGUUUCUAUUCCGUCAUGCUGACUCAUUUUUGUUGAUGGAGUGUCACCAUACAGGAUCACCGUUGACUCCAGCAGGCUCAGUACAAAUUCCCUGAGGAUAGUUAGGACCCAAACAUUUCCCUUCAGGCUUUUCCUGCCCGAGACUGUUUCUUUAAAGGGAGCUUGAAAAAUAGCAAAAUUGGAGUUCAAAUUUCCUUUGACUGUGUCGUGCGUCCACUUCAUAUGCUCUUCUAUUGGAGCAUAUAUCGCAAUCAAAGUGCUGAAAACAAAGCCAUUGAUCGAGGUUGCCUCGGAGGAUCGAUGGAGAAGGAUAUUCCCAAUGUCAUUUGUAUUCUGCAUAAACAUCGUGUUGGGGAAUGUCAGCCUGCGCUACAUUCCAGUCUCCUUCAUGCAGACAAUAAAAUCUUUCACUCCUGCAACAACAGUGAUUCUUCAGUGGUUGGU
This is a long non-coding RNA of Panicum hallii, 1018 nucleotides long. RefSeq lists it as uncharacterized. The record is from RefSeq and is a predicted model, not a curated record. NCBI's taxonomy places the organism in Eukaryota, Viridiplantae, Streptophyta, Magnoliopsida, Poales, Poaceae. The transcript is spliced from 3 exons.